GAUGAACGCUAGCUACAGGCUUAACACAUGCAAGUCGCGGGGCAGCAUGGGGGUUGCUUGCAACUCCCGAUGGCGACCGGCGCACGGGUGAGUAACGCGUAUCCAACCUGCCCUUCACCACGGGAUAACCCGGCGAAAGUCGGACUAAUACCGUAUGUUGUCCAUUGACGGCAUCCGAUUUGGACGAAAGGCUUUGCGGUGAAGGAUGGGGAUGCGUCCGAUUAGCCAGACGGCGGGGUAACGGCCCACCGUGGCUACGAUCGGUAGGGGUUCUGAGAGGAAGGUCCCCCACACUGGAACUGAGACACGGUCCAGACUCCUACGGGAGGCAGCAGUGAGGAAUAUUGGUCAAUGGGCGUAAGCCUGAACCGGCCAAGUAGCGUGCAGGAUGACGGCCCUAUGGGUUGUAAACUGCUUUUAUGCGGGGAUAAAGUGGCCCACGUGUGGGCUUUUGCAGGUACCGCAUGAAUAAGGACCGGCUAAUUCCGUG
This 490-nucleotide ribosomal RNA is filed under the name uncultured bacterium. Its description in RNAcentral is "partial 16S ribosomal RNA". It matches the Rfam family "Bacterial small subunit ribosomal RNA", at positions 28 to 507 of the family's 1533-position model. The record is from RNAcentral.